GCGCAAUGGCCUGUCCAUGGUGGAAGGCUAAAAUUUCUCGCUGAUUUCAGGAGCUUUUAUUUAUGCGUA
Molecule: small RNA, 69 nt
Filed under: Enterobacter cloacae
Lineage: Bacteria; Pseudomonadati; Pseudomonadota; Gammaproteobacteria; Enterobacterales; Enterobacteriaceae
Description: Repression of heat shock gene expression (ROSE) element
Rfam family: Repression of heat shock gene expression (ROSE) element
About the family: This family represents a 5' UTR cis-regulatory element found in heat shock mRNAs and is known as the ROSE (repression of heat shock gene expression) element.
Source: RNAcentral